Molecule: signal recognition particle RNA, 100 nt
Filed under: Streptococcaceae bacterium
Lineage: Bacteria; Bacillati; Bacillota; Bacilli; Lactobacillales; Streptococcaceae
Description: signal recognition particle sRNA small type
Rfam family: Bacterial small signal recognition particle RNA
About the family: The signal recognition particle (SRP) is a universally conserved ribonucleoprotein involved in the co-translational targeting of proteins to membranes. Archaeal SRP consists of a 7S RNA and homologues of the eukaryotic SRP19 and SRP54 proteins.
Source: RNAcentral
UAAUAUUUUUUGGGCAAAGUUCCACUUACGAAGCGUGUCAGAUCUGGAAGGAAGCAGCACUAAGUAGGUUGGGACUUGUGCCUUUUGUUAUGUUUUGAUG